AAAAAAUUUUGCUCAUCCAUGUACUUCCCACCAUGAUGUGCUGGCUCACCACAGGCCCCAAAGCAACAGGGCCAACCACGCAUGACCUGGAACCUCCAAACCUGUGAGCCAAAACAAAACUUUGACUUUAUAAGCUCAUCUACUGUUCCCAGUUAACACAUAAGUUUCAAAGCCUUCAUCCUUUAUUGGACUCAUCCAGCAAGUUUCUUUUCUGUCUGAGGGAUCCCUGGAAUGAUCACAUGGAGUGCAGAGCUGGUGAGUUCACAUGAAGCAGGAAGAGCAAUGCCAAGCACCAGAGAAAGGAAACACACUUUCCUGACUGUCCAUGAUGAUUGUCAUGAUAUCUUCAGUGGCUCCAGGGUACAGACUUUCCCAAACCAAAUCAACAUCAUUUUACAAAUGAGAAAAGAAUUCAAAACUAAGAGUAGAAGUGACUAUUUUCUAUCAAGAAUAAUUUAUCAAAUACUUAUUGACCACUUAUUUUGUAUGAGAUAGAUGGGGAACAUAAUUUCAUUGUAUACAAAAUGUAAAAGCAUGAUCCCUGCUCUAAAUAUGUUUGGGAUAUAAUAAAGAAAAAAAGGCAAGCUCAGGCAGAGCCGAGGCCAAGGAUUUUGUUUCCAA
This is a long non-coding RNA of Marmota monax (woodchuck), 621 nucleotides long. RefSeq lists it as uncharacterized. The transcript is spliced from 2 exons. The record is from RefSeq and is a predicted model, not a curated record. Lineage: Eukaryota; Metazoa; Chordata; Mammalia; Rodentia; Sciuridae.